This 101-nucleotide non-coding RNA is filed under the name Tissierella praeacuta. RNAcentral describes it as "SAM-I sequence". It matches the Rfam family "SAM riboswitch aptamer (S box leader)". From Rfam's summary of the family: The SAM riboswitch is found upstream of a number of genes which code for proteins involved in methionine or cysteine biosynthesis in Gram-positive bacteria. The SAM riboswitch acts at the level of transcription termination control. Lineage: Bacteria; Bacillati; Bacillota; Tissierellia; Tissierellales; Tissierellaceae. The record is from RNAcentral. RNAcentral also lists the same sequence under 1 other name.
UCCUUAUCAAGAGUGAUGGAGGGUAUGGGCCCUAUGAAAUCCAGCAACCAGUAUUAUACAAGGUGCUAAAUCCCACAGAACCAGGUUCUGAGAGAUGAGGU